CCUGCAGGUACACUUGAAAACAAUCAAAGAAAAAAAUGUUGAGGACUUGCAUCUGAUGUAAUGACGCAUCUCCCUGACAUCACAAUGAAAAAUGAAUGUUUCUCUCUACAAAAAUCACAGGCUGGGCAAGCAGCAGCAUGUGUUGCAGAUGGCACUGAGCUGCACAUUUGCUGAGUGGCAGCCGACAGACCAAACAGAGCCUCUGAGAGUUGAGCGGAUGCGGCAGCUUUGUGUCCUAAUUUGCAUUUCUGAUCUGCAGAACACGGGGAAAUCUCGACUCUCCUGCCCAUUUGGCUGAUGGGGACUGAUAACUUUUAUUAAGAACUGACAAAUGGGCAGAGACAGCAAGAUCACACAUACCUUGUUUUGUUAGGUUAUAAGACUAAAAUCCAUCCUGGUUGUCCUCAUUUGCAGCUAGACUCAACUCACGUGCACAUCUGUGUGGAACCUUAGAGGCCCUUGGUAAUUUCUUGCUAUAAAAGGAGGAAAAAAAGAGUGCCAUGACUUAGGUAUAUAGGCUGUGGUCGUAGUUUCACAGAAAAUAAAGACUGUGUCAUUUGGGGAUUAAGGCACUAGAGUUUAACUGCUAGUGGGAUGGGUGAGUAGGGAGAGAGAAUUUCCAAGAGUAAGCCAGGGGAACUGUGGCUAAUUUAAGCCCCAGAGACACUCCUGCUUUGAGAUAUAGUGAAGAUAAAAUGCCUUUUCCUCUCCUUCUUAUAAGGCAUAUUUGAAACAGCACUGCAAUUAACUUCCUAUAUGUUGCAUUUCUCUUCUGUUGGGUCUGGUGCCCUUUUGCUCUCCUCAGUUCUUCUGAGGAGCCUUAUGCUGGGCUAAUUUAAAUAUUGAUAAUUAAACUGUUUCUGUAUUCCUCUUCCCAAAAAUGAAAGAAAUACUUCUUCCAAUUCAUCUGGCUCAGUGAAUAGAUUUUGGGUGAUGUAUAAUGUCUUCUUUAAGAGAGAAAAUGCUAAAGUAAUAGUUAUAAAUAGAUGUGCAAAAUCAUACUGGUGAAUCUCAGAAGCACUGCACUCGAGGAGAGCAAUGCAGUUGACAAGCAAUUUAAGCUACAGCGCGAAAGGAUGCAGAAAUAACGAGAUUUGCAUGAAAAAUAUUGAGAUCAUGAGAACAUCAAAUUUAAACGGAAAACUCAUGUGCCUCAUGAUUAAAUCAUGAGAGCUGACAUUACUGUUAUAACAUUCAAUAUCCUUGGCUUUUGAAAAUAGUUUUAUAAUGAGGGUGGAGUGUAUCUAUCUGUAUAGAAAAUGAGCAUUGUUUGUACCUAGCUAGCUCAUUACGAUGGGAAUCAGAAAUACAAGGCUCUCAAAUCUUAAUACAGGUCAGAAUAUCUCAGAUGCCUCCAGCUAUGGCCGAGCCCCCCCCCGCCCCCCCCCUCCCCCGUCGGGAAGAUAACCCAAAGCAAAGACAGAAACCGACCCUGCUUUCAAAUCACCCAGUCAGUCAAUCAAUCAGUGAUUAAACAGUACCGGGGG
Molecule: long non-coding RNA, 1487 nt
Organism: Oxyura jamaicensis (ruddy duck)
Lineage: Eukaryota; Metazoa; Chordata; Aves; Anseriformes; Anatidae
Exons: 2
Source: RefSeq, a predicted model, not a curated record